This 998-nucleotide long non-coding RNA is filed under the name Carica papaya (papaya). Its description in RNAcentral is "long non-coding RNA (CPAP_LNC015654)". The record is from RNAcentral. Lineage: Eukaryota; Viridiplantae; Streptophyta; Magnoliopsida; Brassicales; Caricaceae.
UGGAUUUUCUGUGAUAUCUGGGAACAAGAAGGCUUAUAUGAUUGAACACAUGUUUGAUCUCUUCAUUUUAUCUUAUUUUUCUUUUGUUGGCAUUUUAAGUUGAUAUGAACCUCUGGUACUGAAUAGAUUGUAUUAUCCUCGUGAAUAUUGUUUAUCAAUCUUCUCUAACUUGUUGAUUGGUGAGGAGGGAAGGAAACCAAGCUAUGUAAGAUUUGUCAUCAAUGGCUAGAGUUCUUUAUCGGGUCUUUCAGGGAGUCUGAAUUUUCUUCUUCUUCUUCUUCUUCUUCUUCUUCUUUUCUUUUUUCGAGGGAAUGAUCUUGCAGGCAAGCAAUUCAGCUGGCUGGCAAUAUGUUCCUUAGAUUAUGCAUGAGUUUGAGCAGUUUGAGGCAGAUGCUCAACUUCUUUAUCAUCAUUCAAAAAAAAGAGGUAAGAAUAGAAUUGGUUCAAAUAUUCUAAUUUUUUAAAAAGUAUAGAUCAAAUUAUUAUAUUAGGUUUUGAAAUUUAGUGCUUCUGCUUAAAAAAGUUAAAAUGAUUAUAGUAUAUUUAAAUAUAUUUUUUUUAAAAAAAAAUGGAUUUGAUUAAUUUAUAAAUAAAUAAUAAUGCUAUGUUUAAUUUUAUUGUUAUUGAAUAAUUAAUUAAUUAAUUAAAAUUACAGUAAACAGCCAACUAACGUGCAUUGAUUUUUCUUUGAAAACAUGGGCAUCUUGUUGACAGAGGAAACCUGUGAAAGAAGCCUCCCAUACGAUGAACAUGCAAUUCAAAAUAUGUGAAAGCAAAAGCUGUCUUGCUUGACAUUCUAUUACACUUGUAUAUUUCUUGUCAUAAAAAAAUAUAUAUAUAUAUAUAUCUACAAUAAUAAUAAUAAUAAAAUUGAAAUUAAAUGGUUGGCAUGUGGAGUGUCUCGCAUACCCUAUUUCCUAUUAGGUAUAUAUAUAUAUAUAUAUAUAUUCAUUGGAGAGAAGAAAAAAAAAAUAUAUAUAUGUUGGGUUGGGACCCGG